This 253-nucleotide ribosomal RNA is filed under the name uncultured bacterium. RNAcentral describes it as "partial 16S ribosomal RNA". It matches the Rfam family "Bacterial small subunit ribosomal RNA", at positions 524 to 776 of the family's 1533-position model. The record is from RNAcentral.
GACGAAGGAUGCAAGCGUUAUCCGGAUUCAUUGGGUUUAAAGGGUGCGUAGGCGGGCAGGUAAGUCAGUGGUGAAAUCUCCGGGCUUAACCCGGAAACUGCCGUUGAUACUAUCUGUCUUGAAUAUCGUGGAGGUAAGCGGAAUAUGUCAUGUAGCGGUGAAAUGCUUAGAUAUGACAUAGAACACCCAUUGCGAAGGCAGCUUACUACACGAUCAUUGACGCUGAGGCACGAAAGCGUGGGGAGCAAACAGG